Gorilla gorilla gorilla (western lowland gorilla) is the source of this 1149-nucleotide long non-coding RNA. RefSeq lists it as uncharacterized. Lineage: Eukaryota; Metazoa; Chordata; Mammalia; Primates; Hominidae. The transcript is spliced from 3 exons. The record is from RefSeq and is a predicted model, not a curated record.
ACCAGCGUCUGUCUACACCUGAGUGAGCCGUACUGGUCGUAGUGGCCCCACCCUACAAGGAUGCCCUUCCUACAGUAUCACUGAUGGCUGUCUAAUCCGGCUGGAGUGCAGCGGCAUGAUCUCGGCACACUGCAGCCACCGUCUUCCAGGUUCAAGCGAUUCUCCCACCUCAGCCUCCCGAGGAGCUGGGAUUACAGGAGUUCAGUGGCGUGACCAGGGCUCACUGCAACCUUGAUCUGGGCUCAAGUGAUCCUCCUACCUCAGCUUCUUGAGUAGCUAGGACCACAGGUGUGCACUACCACACCCGACUAAUUUUUGUAGAGAUGAGAUCCCACUAUGUUACCCAGGCUGGUCUCGAACUCCUGGGCUCAGGUGAUCAUCCUGCCUUGGCUUCCCAAAGUACUGGGAUUAUAGGCUUGAGCCACCGUGCCUGGCCUGUGAUCAGAAUUCUCAUUUUUUUAGUCACUAAAAAUGCUGGGGGGCACUCCAUUCUCCAUUAUAUGAUUAGUUCACAUUGCAUGCCUGUAUCAAAACAUCAUAUAUACCCCACAAAUAUAUACAAAAAACUUUAAAAUUUUAAGUACUAAUUGCUCAGGAAAAAAAAAUUUUAAUGCUGGGGUGCUGAAAUCUCAAGGGCACCAUUACAACACUCCUUAGGAACCUCGCCCUCUCUCUGCUGUAAGGAUUGGUUCCAGAAUGAGAGAAUUUAAAAGACACUCCCCCCCAAAAGUGUUCAUAAUGUCACCCCGGAAACCUGCGAAUAUAUUACAUGACCAGGGAGAAGUAAGGUUGCAGAUGGCAGUAAGUUUGCUAAUGGGCUGACCUUAAGAUAAGGAGAUGAUCCUGGAUUAUCUGGGUGGACCCAAUGUAAUCACAAGGGUCCUUAACUGUGGAAUAGUGAGGUGGCAGAGUCAGAGGCAGAGUGAUGCAAUGAGUGAAAGACUUAACCAGCCAUCACCGGCUUUGAAUACGGAAGACGGUCAUGAGCCAGGGAAUGCAGGCAGGCUCUGGGAGCUGAAAAAAGCAAGAAAAUGGAUUCUUCCCUGGAGCCUCCAGAAGGGAUGCGGUCCUGCCAACACCUUGUCAGUGAGCCAUUUCAGACUUCUGACUUCCAGGACUGUAAGAAAAUAAACUUGUCUUGUUUUCAGA